CAAUGGGGGAACCCUGAUGCAGCAACGCCGCGUGAAGGAUGACGGUUUUCCGAUUGUAAACUUCUUUUCUUAGUGACGAAGACAGUGACGGUAGCUAAGGAAUAAGCAUCGGCUAACUACGUGCCAGCAGCCGCGGUAAUACGUAGGGGGCAAGCGUUAUCCGGAUUUACUGGGUGUAAAGGGAGCGUAGACGGACUGGCAAGUCAGAAGUGAAAGGCGGGGGCUCAACCCCGGGACUGCAUUGGAAACUGUUAGUCUUGAGUGCCGGAGAGGUAAGCGGAAUUCCUAGUGUAGCGGUGAAAUGCGUAGAUAUUAGGAAGAACACCAGUGGCGAAGGCGGCUUACUGGACGGUAACUGACGUUGAGGCUCGAAAGCGUGGGGAGCAAACAGGAUUAGAUACCCUGGUAGUCCAAGGGCGAAUUC
Molecule: ribosomal RNA, 424 nt
Filed under: uncultured bacterium
Lineage: Bacteria
Description: SSU rRNA
Rfam family: Bacterial small subunit ribosomal RNA
Source: RNAcentral